This 439-nucleotide ribosomal RNA is filed under the name uncultured bacterium. Its description in RNAcentral is "partial 16S ribosomal RNA". It matches the Rfam family "Bacterial small subunit ribosomal RNA", at positions 339 to 795 of the family's 1533-position model. The record is from RNAcentral.
CUACGGGUGGCAGCAGUGGGGAAUACUGCACAAUGGAGGAAACUCUGAUGCAGCAACGCCGCGUGGAGGAUGACACUUUUCGGAGCGUAAACUCCUUUUAUAUAGGAAGAAGAUGACGGUACUAUAUGAAUAAGCGCCGGCUAACUCCGUGCCAGCAGCCGCGGUAAUACGGAGGGCGCAAGCGUUACUCGGAAUCACUGGGCGUAAAGAGCGUGUAGGCGGAUUAAAAAGUCAGAAGUGAAAUCCUAUAGCUUAACUAUAGAACUGCUUCUGAAACUCUUAAUCUAGAAUAUGGGAGAGGUAGAUGGAAUUUCUGGUGUAGGGGUAAAAUCCGUAGAGAUCAGAAGGAAUACCGAUUGCGAAGGCGAUCUACUAGAACAUUAUUGACGCUGAGACGCGAAAGCGUGGGGAGCAAACAGGAUUAGAUACCCCCGUAGUC